This 1620-nucleotide ribosomal RNA is filed under the name Salmonella enterica subsp. enterica serovar Stanley. Its description in RNAcentral is "partial 23S ribosomal RNA". It matches the Rfam family "Bacterial large subunit ribosomal RNA", at positions 1154 to 2730 of the family's 2925-position model. The record is from RNAcentral. Lineage: Bacteria; Pseudomonadati; Pseudomonadota; Gammaproteobacteria; Enterobacterales; Enterobacteriaceae.
CGUAUCACCCAAGACAACUUUACGGAGUUGACGAUUGACGGAGCGAAGCGACGUCAAAGCGUUCAUUAAAGUCGAGUUGGCUUAGGGAUACGUUCGUUGGGUAGGGGAGCGUUCUGUAAGCCGUUGAAGGUGGCCUGUGAGGGUUGCUGGAGGUAUCAGAAGUGCGAAUGCUGACAUAAGUAACGAUAAAGCGGGUGAAAAGCCCGCUCGCCGGAAGACCAAGGGUUCCUGUCCAACGUUAAUCGGGGCAGGGUGAGUCGACCCCUAAGGCGAGGCCGAAAGGCGUAGUCGAUGGGAAACGGGUUAAUAUUCCCGUACUUGGUGUUACUGCGAAGGGGGGACGGAGAAGGCUAUGUUGGCCGGGCGACGGUUGUCCCGGUUUAAGCGUGUAGGUGUGUGUUCCAGGUAAAUCCGGUUCACUUUAACACUGAGGCGUGACGACGAGGCACUACGGUGCUGAAGCAACAAAUGCCCUGCUUCCAGGAAAAGCCUCUAAGCAUCAGGUAACAUCAAAUCGUACCCCAAACCGACACAGGUGGUCAGGUAGAGAAUACCAAGGCGCUUGAGAGAACUCGGGUGAAGGAACUAGGCAAAAUGGUGCCGUAACUUCGGGAGAAGGCACGCUGACACGUAGGUGAAGUGAUUUACUCAUGGAGCUGAAGUCAGUCGAAGAUACCAGCUGGCUGCAACUGUUUAUUAAAAACACAGCACUGUGCAAACACGAAAGUGGACGUAUACGGUGUGACGCCUGCCCGGUGCCGGAAGGUUAAUUGAUGGGGUCAGCGCAAGCGAAGCUCCUGAUCGAAGCCCCGGUAAACGGCGGCCGUAACUAUAACGGUCCUAAGGUAGCGAAAUUCCUUGUCGGGUAAGUUCCGACCUGCACGAAUGGCGUAAUGAUGGCCAGGCUGUCUCCACCCGAGACUCAGUGAAAUUGAACUCGCUGUGAAGAUGCAGUGUACCCGCGGCAAGACGGAAAGACCCCGUGAACCUUUACUAUAGCUUGACACUGAACAUUGAGCCUUGAUGUGUAGGAUAGGUGGGAGGCUUUGAAGCGUGGACGCCAGUCUGCGUGGAGCCGACCUUGAAAUACCACCCUUUAAUGUUUGAUGUUCUAACGUGGACCCGUAAUCCGGGUUGCGGACAGUGUCUGGUGGGUAGUUUGACUGGGGCGGUCUCCUCCUAAAGAGUAACGGAGGAGCACGAAGGUUGGCUAAUCCUGGUCGGACAUCAGGAGGUUAGUGCAAUGGCAUAAGCCAGCUUGACUGCGAGCGUGACGGCGCGAGCAGGUGCGAAAGCAGGUCAUAGUGAUCCGGUGGUUCUGAAUGGAAGGGCCAUCGCUCAACGGAUAAAAGGUACUCCGGGGAUAACAGGCUGAUACCGCCCAAGAGUUCAUAUCGACGGCGGUGUUUGGCACCUCGAUGUCGGCUCAUCACAUCCUGGGGCUGAAGUAGGUCCCAAGGGUAUGGCUGUUCGCCAUUUAAAGUGGUACGCGAGCUGGGUUUAGAACGUCGUGAGACAGUUCGGUCCCUAUCUGCCGUGGGCGCUGGAGAACUGAGGGGGGCUGCUCCUAGUACGAGAGGACCGGAGUGGACGCAUCACUGGUGUUCGGGUUGUCAUGCC